Molecule: ribosomal RNA, 484 nt
Filed under: uncultured bacterium
Lineage: Bacteria
Description: partial 16S ribosomal RNA
Rfam family: Bacterial small subunit ribosomal RNA
Source: RNAcentral
AUUGAACGCUGGCGGCAGGCCUAACACAUGCAAGUCGAGCGGAUGAAGGGAGCUUGCUCCUGGAUUCAGCGGCGGACGGGUGAGUAAUGCCUAGGAAUCUGCCUGGUAGUGGGGGAUAACGUCCGGAAACGGGCGCUAAUACCGCAUACGUCCUGCGAGAGCAAGUGGGGGAUCUUCGGACCUCACGCUAUCAGAUGAGCCUAGGUCGGAUUAGCUAGUUGGUGGGGUAAAGGCCUACCAAGGCGACGAUCCGUAACUGGUCUGAGAGGAUGAUCAGUCACACUGGAAGUGAGACACGGUCCAGACUCCUACGAGAGGCAGCAGUGGGGAAUAUUGGACAAUGGGCGAAAGCCUGAUCCAGCCAUGCCGCGUGUGUGAAGAAGGUCUUCGGAUUGUAAAGCACUUUAAGUUGGGAGGAAGGGCAGUAAGUUAAUACCUUGCUGUUUUGACGUUACCAACAGAAUAAGCACCGGCUAACUUCGUG